CGGGCGAACGGGUGAGUAAUGCUUUGGAAUCUUCCCAGUAGUGGGGAAUAACCAGUCGAAAGAUUGGCUAAUACCGCAUACGUCUGUAAAGGGAAAGCGGGGCUCGUAAGACCUCGCGCUAUUGGAUGAGCCAAAGUCGGAUUAGCUUGUUGGUGGGGUAAUGGCCUACCAAGGCGACAAUCCGUAGCUGGUCUGAGAGGACGACCAGCCACACUGGGACUGAGACACGGCCCAG
Molecule: ribosomal RNA, 235 nt
Filed under: uncultured bacterium
Lineage: Bacteria
Description: partial 16S ribosomal RNA
Rfam family: Bacterial small subunit ribosomal RNA
Source: RNAcentral